RNAcentral lists this long non-coding RNA (5222 nucleotides) under Lynx pardinus (Iberian lynx). The stretch from base 1083 to 1153 matches the Rfam family "mir-124 microRNA precursor family". Lineage: Eukaryota; Metazoa; Chordata; Mammalia; Carnivora; Felidae. The record is from RNAcentral.
CUCGCUUCCUCGGACGCAGGAGUCGGAGCGGGCCUUUCCCUUGGGCCGACCGCGCUGUAGGGGACGCCGCGAAAAGAGCCGCUGCGCCCGCCAGCUCCUGCCCGCUGCGCAGAGGGCUCCGCCCGUAGAGGUCAACUCCCCUCACCCCUUCCUCUCUCCUGCUCGCCCUCCCUCCGCCCGGCCCAGGUUCCUCCAGCCUCCAGACUCUUGCCGCAGUCUGAGGAGAGCGCGUCGGCUGCGCUGUUCUGAGCCAUAACCCCCAGCCGGGCCCAGACCCGAGGUCCGCGCUCCCAGGCAGUGGGGAAGCCUUAGCGAGCUGCCUUUUCUCUCUGCACCAAAGCUGUAGCCAGACCAGAUGGGCCGCCCAGCUCUCUCGGGACUAGGCAGGUGCGGUUGAGUUAAUUUUUCCGCAUUACAAAGAAAGACGACCCAGCCCGCCCUUGGCCUCUCAUCUCUUCCCCAAACCUCCCAACCGAAACCACGGUGACGUUAUCAGAGGACACAGAGCCUAGGCAUAUCUGCGAGACUCACUCACACACACACACACACACACACACACGCAUGAUUACUUUCCCUUCUAUACGCUAGAUCUCAUUCCCGACAGCAAGAAGUGACUGACAAAGCUUUCUGCACCAGAACAUGCAAUGGCGCGGUCCUUAAAACCUGCCAUCCCUUACAAGUGACUUAGAAGGGAUGCAGGGCGAACCAACUCCGUUAAUUGCCUUCAGGAAAAUAACACGAUUACGAAAUUAGAUCUGUACCAGGGGGGUAAUUAACUUCGAUCCACGCCGUCAUUUGAAAACUAGAUUUAUAGGGUAUGUAUGUUUUUAGGUGUGCUGUAAAUGGCAUGCAGAUAUAUGCAUAUGUAUACGCAGACACAUGCAUCGUCUACACUUCCACCGAACAGACUAAUUAGCAGCGGCUCUGGCAGCUGUGGCAGGAGGCGAGCUGAGACAGGAGCCCGGCUUAUGAGUUACGACUCUGGGGGAGUUGUAGGGACUCAGAGCUCGGCGUAGGGGGAAGGGCAAGAGAAGUGAUGUGUUCGCAGUGGGUCAGUUACUUUCCGGAUCAAGAUCAGACUCUGCCCUCCGUGUUCACAGCGGACCUUGAUUUAAUGUCAUACAAUUAAGGCACGCGGUGAAUGCCAAGAGCGGAGCCUAUGGCUGCACUUGAAGGACACCAGAGCGUCUCAGGACGAGAAAAGGGAAAAGGCAAUCACAAGGGGGUUUGAGGGGUAGUAGAACAAACCCAUCAUUUGCCGCAUACGGACCCUCAGACUGAUUCCAGAACCAACCUAGUGUUUCCAAAGCAAACCGGUCAUAGUUUUCGGUAAAAGCCUCGGAAAUCUGCUGGCGGAUUUUACGAGAGUUCGGUGACAGGAGCUUCAGCUGUCAGGAAAGCAGGAGUUCCAGUUUGUGCAGAUAUUCUAGAGUUGAACUGUUUAGAAAGCAGUGGAUCUUUAAGGAGCAAGUAGUGUGAUUGUUGGCGAUUCUGGGCCAAGCUGCCGAAACAAACAGAACAGAGAGGAUGAUAAUGUUAAAUGGUGCCCUCAUCACAUUGCGCAAGAAACCUCGAAUGGCUCAACUCCUUCGGGAAGCCCUCUACAACCACCACCACUGCCCUCUACCCGCCCCACCCCUUCUCCCUUUCUCUUCCUAGUAUCCAGUCGGCCUUGCCUGACUUUGAAAAGCCAAGAUAAUUUCCUUGUAUCGAGAUACUCUCAAUGGUCAAAUCAGUCAAAGGAGUAGGACAAGGGGAAAAGGCCAAGCCUGAAACUUUAGAAGGACUCUGCAAAUUAAUUUAUUUGGAAGCCAAUGAAGUGGACUUUGUUAAGGUAGUAGUUCCGCACCACGGCCUUGGAGCGAAAAACAAACCCAGAUUAAGAAAGCGAGCCUUGAUAGAUGUCUUUGUUCUGCCUUGGCCUGCAGGGGCUGGGAACAAAGGAGAGGAACUGAGAGAGGAUUCACCAAAGUGGCCGCGCCCUUAGCGCCUGGCGCUGUCCGCGGUGCUGACCUCGGCCCUCUUCUCUCUCCGUAAUUUAACCAAAAAGCAAUAGGACCCUCCCGCCCCCAUCCCGAAGAAUAACAGAAUAUUAGGUAAUUUGAGAAAGAAAAAAAAAUAAAGGCAGAGAAAUGCCGCACACGGCAAAACCUAAUAUUUUACCAAAAUAGUCCACUCUAGCUGUUGCCACACUUGACUUGCCCUUUACAGUCUUGGCGUAGUUACGUAGUUAGUGUAUGUACAUUGGGAAACAAUUCCACUUUAUUUAGACUGAAACCUGAAUCUAGCAAUGGGCGGGACUUGCAAGGAGAAUGAGGAGAAUGAAGGCUCUAUUUUUUCUUUCUUUCUUUCUUUCUUUCUUUCUUUCUUUCUUUCUUCUUUCUUUCUUUCUUUCUUUCAAGUCAUCUUCCUUAAAACAUACAAACUUAUGGUCUUCAGCUGCAUACCUAAAUAGUGCUAGUGUGGUCAGUAAAGGGACUCACAACGGACUCAAGUGUGGGCCUUGAGACUUACCAGAAAAGGACAGAAUGGGGACUCACUAGAUGAGACCAAGCAGGAGUCCACCCAGUCCCAUCCCCUCAGGCAGAAAGGGCAGCCUUCCUAGGUAGGUCCAGAGCCCCAAGCUCUGCAGACCUCUCUGAUGCGCGGAGCAAGCUCCGCGCUUCCUGGCCGGCGGGAGGCACUGCAGGCCAGAAAACGUGAAACCCGCACUGCGGAAAAACCAACUACAGCAUCCUUUUCCUCCUCAAAGCUGUCAGUUGCGAUUGGAAAAGGGCAGGGUGGCUUACCAAAUAGCAGGCAAUGAAGAUUUCCUUUAGGAGUCGAGGGGCGUAUGGGUCAGUAUUCAUACAUUCGAUAAAUCUUUUAUAUUGAGAACAUUAAAUAUAAAUAAUAAGAAUUUAAAUAUCUUAACUAAAUAAUCAAAGAGAGAUAGAGAAACAGGAAAUCAGCCAAUGUGUAACCAGCCUGAGGUCGCAAAAGAAAUUGCUACAUGCUUGUUUGUGUUUAUAAAUCCACAAACAUAAAAGAUGUUAAAACUAGAAAUAGAUAAUAGUAACAAUAGAUUAUAGACUUAUAGAUCUAUAAAAAUAGAAAUAGAUAACAAUCCAGACUGGGCAACAGAGGUGGCAACACCAAUUUUGAUCCAGGUAUAGAAAUGGGCCACAAAUGGGUCAUACAUUUCAUCGGAUUCAUUCUUUUACACCUGAAUGAUGGAGAUAUAUCAAAUGAUUCCAAAAAGAAAGUGGUAAAGCACCUAUUCUCAGGAGAUAGUCAUACUGCCUUCUCUCAGGGUGGAUUUUAUUUGUCCUCUGAUUUUAGAAUUCUGUGAAUUAGGCCUUUCAUGUCCAUUGAUGACUUAAAUUUCUAUUUCAUUUUAUAUAAUUUGAGAGGGAAUAGGUAAAACACACUAAAAAAGGGGGGGAUUACUUGAAUAAUAAAAGGAAAGUGUUUGGAAACAUUCCUCUUAUGCCCGUUAAGAGUAGUCAUUGGAAAUUGAAAUGAAUUUAAAGCAUCAGAUGUUAUCAUGGAAGCUUGAUUUCAUUCCAGGAUUCAUGCAAUUGUGCCGAUCUGCACCCACAUUCCCUCGGAUAUUUCAUGAAGCAACAAGGGUCCAAGGUUGCAAAAUAUUUCUGCCUGAAUUGUGUUAUAAUUCAUAUUACAUAAUAGAAACCCACCUAAUUCCCCUCACUCUAAUCCUUCCUGUUUAGGAAAUCUAAAUUCAUCCUCCAGAAAACUAAGUUUUUAAAUUACUUUCUAAACAGAGAUGAGAAACACGGUGUGAAAGAGAGAAGGUAAAAUACUGUUUAAAUAAGGGAACAUUUAGUGUUCUGGUUACAGCGAUUAAACCCAGAAUGGUUACUGAUCCGAAAUAUUUCUAGAUUUUUAAGACUAUUUUAUUUUCUACUUCUUUUAAAAGUAAUCAUCUGGUUUAAUGUCCAUCGCCAAUUUGACUGCUAUGAAAUUCAGUGCUCAGCAUUUUUUGCAAUAAAACAAUUUAAGCUUCGCAAUUGGAGAAUUUCGGCCUGGAGUGCCACGGGGGUCCUUUGACAAUCACAACUUUCAUUUAGUGGUCUGAAAUUAAAGCUUUUUAGAAUAAGUUGGGAGCAGCUUGACCCUUUGAAAUACUCAAUGACAACCCUCCAGGGAAAUAGCAUGUUUUCUUCCUGGGAAGGAGAUGCUAGCGCAGUGCACCAGGGAGUAAUACGCUGUCAACAAUGCCAGAGCGCCCUCUGCUGCCAGAAAGAGGCAAGACACUAGCUAAAAUAUCCAGAUGGCACUGAGUUGCUGGGUAAGCAGUGAAAACAUUAAGCUCUUAGAAACAUUUAAUCUGUGAAAUUUAAAAUCUCUGAUCAUAUUGUAUUUUUGAAGGGGCCACCUGAUUUUGAUUUUGAGAACUCCUUGAAUAAUUUUCUUAUAUUUCUUCAAGGUAGUGAAAGGUCAAAUGUUAUGAAGUUUCAGUCUGUCAAAUUAUUUCUGUAGUUACAUUUCUGUACUUUCUCUAAUUUUAUAUGAAAAUAUGAAAUUGCAGUUCGGAGUUAAAAAAUCUUUGUGCUGAAUAUAUGAGCAAAUAAUUCUUUUCCUAGUUUCUCUAUAUAACUAAGAUCUAAUAAAAAAAUUAGCUAAAGAUAUCAAUCAUAGAUUGUUACAUUUUUAAAAACUAAGGACAGAGGUAAAGAAUCAUUUUCUUAUUUUGAUAAUUAACCCAGAUUUUUCUCGAGCUUUAAGUCUAGGAAAAGAAAGUGAGUUAUGUUUGAGGAAGAAGUUGAAAAUUUUGCUUCACCCUAAUAUAUAUAUUCUUUUUACCCUUGAAAUUUUUGAAAUGAACUUAUAUCCAUGCUUAGCUUAGAAAGAUUUCAUUAGAAAAGAAUGCACUCUGACUAUAAACAAUCUGAUGUGGCUGCAGCACAGGCAAACUCAUAAAGAAGCAAUACCUGAAUUAAAAUUGAGUUUUUCAGUAUGGAGCAAUCUCUUUUCAAAUGAAAUUGGAGAGCAUUUUCUAAAAGGUUAAAAAUUCUUUUUGAUUUUUAUGUAUUACAGGGUUUGUAUUGAGUUUUAAAAUGUACAGCUGUAUUAAUUAAAUGUUGUGAAUCUCAAAAUUACAGCCUAUUUCUAAACACACACACACCUUUGCCAUGAAGACUAUGUUGAAUAUAUCAGUGCUAAUGUAAUAAAAUGCUUCUAUUAAUUAUGUGGUUGUUAAAUAAAUCUUGGAAAAUAAA